RNAcentral lists this small RNA (26 nucleotides) under Bombyx mori (domestic silkworm). Its description in RNAcentral is "ovarian small RNA-29250". Lineage: Eukaryota; Metazoa; Arthropoda; Insecta; Lepidoptera; Bombycidae. The record is from RNAcentral.
UCGUCGGAGAGGGCACGCACGCGCAU